Long non-coding RNA from Dermochelys coriacea (leatherback sea turtle), 97 nucleotides. RefSeq lists it as uncharacterized. The record is from RefSeq and is a predicted model, not a curated record. Lineage: Eukaryota; Metazoa; Chordata; Testudines; Dermochelyidae. The transcript is spliced from 3 exons.
UGUAGUGUAUUAAAUUGCUCCCCAUAGGAAUGCGCUACUUACGGUGUACCACUUAGAGCUGCCAGUCCUGGUGCUCUUAAUACACUACACGCUGCAG